AACAAUUGCUAAUCUUACAGAAACUAUCUUAAGCAACAAAGCCUAGUAAAGCCUAACUCAUGUAAACAAUAGUAUGUAAUUUAUGCUUUAUAUAAAGAUCACAUAGCUAUUGCCAAUGUCCAUGUCCCUGCAUAGAUAUAGAUAUCCGAAUACAAUUCACAAUCCUAUCCAUAAGCACACAUUUAAUUUUAAACACAAAAGCUAUCAUAUGGUUUAAGACUAUACUUUAAAGCAUACGCCUCAAAACAUAGUACCUAAAAUCUCUGGCCAUUAAGAUAACAUUGGACGUGCUAGUUAACUAAGCAAAAUGUGAUGUUGAAUUAUUUUGAAGAAAAACAGUUACACAUGGCUGAUUUCAAAAUGGCAUAAGUAUCUCAAAUAAAUUUGGAAAAUAAUGUUACAAGCUUUGUUUGAAAGUUGAGAAUGUGUGUGUUCAGUUUGCGAUGAAUUUAAACAAGUUUGAAUGAAAGAAUCCAUUGAAAUCAAAAGGAAAAAACAGUAAAAUAAUAAGAAAUGCAGUAUUUCCUGAUGCAGACUCUCAACUUCGGAAAAUCAUAACUUAAUCUACAAAACUCCUUAUUAAGAGAUUCAAAUUCAGGAAUAAUAUUUAACAUGUGUACGAUAACUUUUAUGAAGACAACAACUUCAAAUACUAACUGAAAUGCACAGAUUUUAGUAAAAAGGCAGCUGGGUCAAAAACUCAGAAAACUGAUCUGCAGAAUUUCUUACUGCAGACCCUCAACUUUGAAAAAUCAUAUCUUAAUCUAAACAAUUCCUUUUGAAGUGAUUCAAGUUCUGGAACAAUAUUUAAUAUUUCUGCUACAACUUUUAUAAAGAAACCAACUUCAGAUAACCAAUCUAAAUAUACAGCUUUUCAAACAAAGUGACAGACUCCACCUUCAGAUAACUUAUUUCCACUAACCGUAGAUAAGGGAUUCAUGACUUAAAUAACUCGUACUCCUGUCCAAAUAUGCUAAUAUUAACUCCUUGCAUUCCAUAUCUGAUCUCAACUCUCAAAGUAUAGAUUUUCUUCCUUCCACAAUUCCCUCCUAUGAAUCACUUGCUCAAAAUAAUCUUAAUACUCGAAAAUAUCUCAAAAACUUAUGUACCUAUAACUAUACUAAUCUACCAAAGAAAACUUGAAAAUUGUAAAUCUCUAAACUCAGCCAAAUGAUAACUGUGGAACAUAACGCAGAUUCUAGAACCUCAAACUAUCCUCAAUAUGCCCAAGUCUACUCCUAAGACUUCCUACUAUUGUGAUCCCAAGUAUUUACCAAAAAUAAACCAUGCUUAUCACAAAAUCUGGAAACAUGUUCCUAGGAGAACCUAAUUUUACUCCUAAUAACCUUGCACAUGGUCUGCAUAAAUAAUACCCAAGUACUUACAGACUAGUUGUGGAAACCCAAUCUCUCAUGCAUAUCUCUGUUAUAAAAGUUUCUCCAAAACUAGUAAAUGUCUCUUCAAAACAACAAUUCUCCAUAACUAGUUUAGUAAGUGAUCUGCCGAAACUACUCAAAAUAUGUACAUUUUGAUCUAUUCUACAACAUCAACAAUGACCUAGAACCUCCGAGUCUACUCUCCAUUACCAAAAUCCUAUGCAAUUAACCUGAUCAUAAUCCAAAUUUGCACAUCCUUCACUUGAUCACCAGAGAACAAUUGCUAAUCUUACAGAAACUAUCUUAAGCAACAAAGCCUAGUAUGUAAACAAUAGUAUGUAAUUCAUGCUUUAUAUAAAGAUCACAUAGCUAUUGCCAAUGUACAUGUCCCUGCAUAGAAAUAGAUAUCAGAAUACAAUUCACAAACCUAUCUAUAAGCACACAUUUAAUUUUAAACACAAAAGCUAUCAUAUGGCUUAAGAACAUACUUUACCUUAAAGCAUACUCCUCAAAAACAUAGUACCUAAAAUCUCAGGCCAUUAAGAAAGCAUUUGACGUGCUAGAUAACUAAGCAAAAUGUGAUGUAGAUUUAUUUUGAAGAAAAACUGUUACACAUGGCUGAUUUCAAAAUCGCAUAAGUAUCUCAAAUAAAUUUGGAAAAUAAUGUCACAAGCUUUGUUUGAAAGUUGACAAUGUGUGUGUUCAGUUUGUGAUGAAUUUAAACAAUUUUGAAUGAAAAAAUCCAUUGAAAUCAAAAGGAACAAACUGUCAAAUAAUAAGAAAUAGUAAUUCCUGAUACAAAACUCCUUAUUAAGAGAUUCAAAUUCAGGAUUAGUAUUUAACAUGUGUACUAUAACUUUUAUAAGGACAACAACUUCAAAUACUCAACUGAAAUGCACAGAUUUUAGUAAAAAGGCAGCUGGGUCAAAAACUCAGAAAACAGAUCUGCAGCUUUUCAAACAAAGUGACAGACUCCACCUUUAGAUAACCUAUUUCCAGUAACCGUAGAUAAGGGAUUUAUGACUUAUAUAACUCUAACUUCUGUCCAAAUAUGCUAAAAUUAACUCCUUGCAUUCCAUUUCUGUUCUCAACUCUCCAACUAUAGACUUUCUUCCUUCCACAAUUCCCUCCUAUGAAUCACUUCCAUAAGACUUAAGCUCAGGAAAUUUAGACCAACUCUCAAGUUUAAACUCGCUCCUAUUUGCAGGCUAACUAUUUGCUACUACUACAGUGAUAAUAAUUCUAAAUGAUUCUAAUCGUCUCAUCCUUAGCCUAAUCCAAAGGAGAUAAAAUCGUCUCAGUUUUGAAAUCUUGUAAAGCUAAACGACAUAAAAUUUUGAAAUAAGACGGUGAAGAAGAGACGACAACGCUUUGAGUUUGAAGGUCGCGCACCUGACCAACCUCCUUCUACAGCGACAACAUUUUCUGAAAGUUGUUAUAAGUUUGGGCUCGGGUUUACUAACUAUUAGGUCAAGGUUAAGGUCAUGGGCUAAAAAUUCUCCUACUUAAAUCGAAUGAAAACAAAAGCAAAAGAAACUAUGCAACUAUAUUAGUUUUCAGCAUAUAUAUAUAUAUAUAUAAGCCGGAUGUGGAGCGGACGUCCGCACUGGCCUUAAAGUGCUGACGUCCGUCCGUUCUCCACCCUCCGGCGCCGGCGACGGCACGCGUCCACCUCAAAAGACUCCAGCAGCGUCCCCGACCACUUUCCUUCCCCGGUGAGUCCAUUCUUUUCCAGUUUUCCGGCGAGAUCACCCAAAACUUCAAACAAAGUCGAUCUUGCCGGAAAUUGGAAAAAAACGGACUCGCCGGGGAGGGGAAGGUGGUCGGGGACGGCUGCUGGAGUCUUCUGGGGUGGAGGCGCGCCG
RNAcentral lists this long non-coding RNA (3241 nucleotides) under Fragaria vesca (wild strawberry). RNAcentral describes it as "long non-coding RNA (FVES_LNC003680)". Lineage: Eukaryota; Viridiplantae; Streptophyta; Magnoliopsida; Rosales; Rosaceae. The record is from RNAcentral.